This 73-nucleotide transfer RNA is filed under the name Ovis aries (sheep). It matches the Rfam family "tRNA". Rfam says of the family: Transfer RNA (tRNA) molecules are approximately 80 nucleotides in length. Their secondary structure includes four short double-helical elements and three loops (D, anti-codon, and T loops). Lineage: Eukaryota; Metazoa; Chordata; Mammalia; Artiodactyla; Bovidae. The record is from Rfam by way of RNAcentral.
UCCCUGGUGGUCUAGUGGAUAAGACUCCUCACUCUCAGUGAAGGGGGCCCAGGUUCGAUCCCUGGUCAGGGAA